RNAcentral lists this ribosomal RNA (548 nucleotides) under Dictyocoela sp. 32. RNAcentral's name for it is "partial small subunit ribosomal RNA". It matches the Rfam family "Microsporidia small subunit ribosomal RNA", at positions 265 to 807 of the family's 1311-position model. Lineage: Eukaryota; Fungi; Microsporidia. The record is from RNAcentral.
GCUUCCCAGGCCCAGGUUCACCACCGGCGCGAAAAUUAUUGAAACCCCCCUAGGGGCGAUAGGGAGGAGACGGGUAUUUCGAAGUACGUGUAAAGAACGUCCUAAUAACUGGAGGUCAAGUCUGGUGCCAGCAUCCGCGGUAAUUCCAGCUCCAGGGGUGUCUAUGAUGAUUGCUGCGAUUAAAAAGUCCGUAGUCAAACUGACUGACUGACCUGCAAUGUGAUUGAUUAAAGAACGAGCAGGGUUAGGAAAGCAGAGAAUUAGGAGCGACCGAGGGCUAGAGUAUUGAAUGGCGAGAGGUGAAAUUUGAUGACCCAUUCAGGAGUGACAAAGGCGAAGGCACUAGUCAAGGGCGAAUCCGAUGAUCAAGGACGUAGGCUAGAGUUUCGAAAACGAUUAGAGACCGGAGUAGUUCUAGCAGUAAACUAUGCCGACGCCGUGAUAUUGUUUUUUGUGGCAGUAUUGCGGAAGAGAAAUCAAGUAAGGCUUUGGGGAGAGUACGCGCGCAAGCGAUAAAUUUAAAGGAAAUGACGGAGGAACACCAGCAA